AUGUCUUCGACCUCGUUGGGCUAUGUCGCCAUUCCACGCUGCCCGGUAAUUUUUGAUGGGGCUAACUAUGCCGAGUUUGCUGCUUUUAUGCGUAUUCACAUGCGUGACCUCCGUCUCUCGGGAGUUCUUUCCGGCGAGGUUCCUUGUCCUCAGCGCCCGGUUCCUCCUGUGGCUCCUAUCCUACCGCCGCGUCCACCGGAUCUUGCCGCAAAUGCUUCUGAUGAUGAUAGGGCUGCAACCCGAGUUGCUGCUGAUGAUGCGGUUGCUGCUUAUGACCAGCAGGUCGUGGUUUAUUUGGAUGCUCUUUCCGUUUAUCGUGAUGAUCUGGCUGCUUAG
RNAcentral lists this ribosomal RNA (336 nucleotides) under Triticum aestivum (bread wheat). RNAcentral's name for it is "partial small subunit ribosomal RNA". The record is from RNAcentral. Lineage: Eukaryota; Viridiplantae; Streptophyta; Magnoliopsida; Poales; Poaceae.